GCAAAUGGCAUGCCCGAGCUUUAUACAGGCGCAAGCUCAAUAGCUAAAUGGAGGAAUUCAUGAAUUUUCCCACCCAACCUACAGCAGGGGCUGGUUCAUGGUUUGAGGUGCGCUGGAAACACGUUUCCUUCAAGUGGAUCCCUGGAUCCCUCUUUGAUCCAUGGCCGUCCAGGAGGAUUUCCCUCACAACAAGUGGGCUGAGCCCCUGAAGGAAUGGCACGUUUUCGGAUCUGGCAGUCUUGGAGCAUUCCAGCAAAAUAAUACUAUACUACUGCCUCCUAAGCAAGCAUCCUCAGACUAUUGCCUUUCAAGUAUGAAUUUCAAUUCUUAUAACCCCAAAUCUGUAUGGUUGUUGAGUUUAUGAGAACUAAAAUGGACAGUUAACAUCAAAAAUAUCAUCAAAAAAGGACAACAAAGACUGUUCUUUCUGCGCCAACUCAGAAAGCUCAACCUGCCCAAGGAGCUACUGAUCCAGUUCUACAGAGGAAUUACUGAGUCUGUCAUUUGCACCUCUAUAACUGCCUGGUUUGGUUCUGCAACCCAACAAGAAAGACACAGACUUCAGAGGAUAAUUAGAACUGCAGAAAAAAUAAUUGCUACCAACCUGGAGGACCUGUAUACUGCACGAAUCAAGAAGCGGGCCAUGAAAAUAUUUACAGAUCCCUCACAUCCUGGACAUAAACUGUUUCAACUCCUACCAUCAAAACGACGCUAUUAGAGCACUGCAUACCAGAACAACUAGACACAAGAACAGUUUUUCCCCGAAGGCCAUCACUCUGCUAAACAAAUAAUUCCCCCAACAGUGUCAAACUAUUUACUAAAUCUACACUACUAUUAAUCUUCUCAUCGUUUCCAUCACCAAUCUCUUUCCACCUAUGACUGUAUGACAGUAACUUUUUGUUGCUAUCAUUGAGGGUUAAAUUGUACCCUAUGACCAUCAUUUGUGUUGUAAAUGUUUUACUUUUAUGAAGGUAUUUUUUCUUUUAUGUACACUGAGAACAUAUGCACCAAGACAAAUUCCUUGUGUGUCCAAUCACACUUGGCCAAUAAAUUCUAUUCUAUUCUAUUCUAUUCUAUUCUAUUCUAUUCUAUUCUAUUCUAUUCUAUAGUCCAACACAUCCAGAAGCAUGAGUUUAGAUAAUGUGAUAUAGAUUCAAGGUUCACAAAGUAUGAAGGCAAAUACAUAGGCAAUUAUUAAGGUAUGGUAUGUAUUUUAUUUAUUUUAUGUUAUUUCAAUUUGAUUGAAGCUAAGCAGUGUACAAGUGUACAGUGUACAACAAAUCUGCACAAUAACACGAGUUUAAAAACAGUAAGUACAGCUUUUUACAGUAAGCACAACAAAAACUUCAGCGUACAAUGCAACAUGUUGUGUAGUGAGGCAUCUCAUUCAGAGAGCAAAGCAAAAGUCAUUUCAUCUAGUCCCCAAGGCCCUUUGAGUCUCCAAGAUCUAAAAGCUUUCAGAAAAUAAUGAGGAAAAAAAGACCACUACUGUCUUAUUUCCAGGGCCAAGCUAUUCCACAGGAGAAGAAGCCCAGCCCCGUAUCAGUUUUUGAGCACCUUCCUGCCAGAACUCCCAAUUAUAGGGAAUCUCAGUAGGCAUUUUAUGUACAUUGGAUGGGCAGAUGCUACUUAGAAUAGCCCGU
Molecule: long non-coding RNA, 1643 nt
Organism: Ahaetulla prasina
Lineage: Eukaryota; Metazoa; Chordata; Lepidosauria; Squamata; Colubridae
Exons: 3
Source: RefSeq, a predicted model, not a curated record